Molecule: unclassified non-coding RNA, 117 nt
Organism: Pongo abelii (Sumatran orangutan)
Lineage: Eukaryota; Metazoa; Chordata; Mammalia; Primates; Hominidae
Rfam family: Metazoan signal recognition particle RNA
About the family: The signal recognition particle (SRP) is a universally conserved ribonucleoprotein. It is involved in the co-translational targeting of proteins to membranes.
Source: Ensembl
GCCGGGCAUGGUGGCUCAUGCCUGUAAUCCCAACCCUUUGGGAGGCUGAGGCGGGCAGAUCACCAGAGGUCAGGAGUUUAGGACCAGCCUGGCCAACAUGGUGAAACCCCGUCUCUA